RNAcentral lists this ribosomal RNA (496 nucleotides) under uncultured bacterium. RNAcentral describes it as "partial 16S ribosomal RNA". It matches the Rfam family "Bacterial small subunit ribosomal RNA", at positions 28 to 506 of the family's 1533-position model. The record is from RNAcentral.
GAUGAACGCUGGCGGCGUGCCUAAUACAUGCAAGUCGAGCGAACGGACGAGAAGCUUGCUUCUCUGAUGUUAGCGGCGGACGGGUGAGUAACACGUGGAUAACCUACCUAUAAGACUGGGAUAACUUCGGGAAACCGGAGCUAAUACCGGAUAAUAUUUUGAACCGCAUGGUUCAAAAGUGAAAGACGGUCUUGCUGUCACUUAUAGAUGGAUCCGCGCUGCAUUAGCUAGUUGGUAAGGUAACGGCUUACCAAGGCAACGAUGCAUAGCCGACCUGAGAGGGUAAUCGGCCACACGGGAACGGAGACACGGUCCAGACUCCUACGGGAGGCAGCAGGAGGGAAUCUGCCGCAAGGGGCGAAAGCCUGACGGAGCAACGCCGCGUGAGUGAUGAAGGUCUUCGGAUCGUAAAACUCUGUUAUUAGGGAAGAACAUAUGUGUAAGUAACUGUGCACAUCUGGACGGUACCUAAGCAGAAAGCCACGGCUAACUACGU